GCUGGGUGUGGUGGUGCGUGCCUGUAGUCCCAGCUACUCGGGAGGCUGAGGCUGGAGGAUCCCUUGAGUCCAGGAGUUCCAGGCUGCAGUGCACUAUGCUGAUCGGGUGUCCACACUAAGUUCAACAUCAAUAUAGUGACCUCCUGGGAGCGGGGGACCACCAGGUUACCUAAGCAGGGGUGAACUGGCCCAGGUCGGAAAUAGAGCAGGUCAAAACUCCUGUACUGAUCAGUACUGGGAUUGCGCCUGUGAACAGCCACUGCACUCCAGCCUGGGCAACACGGCAAGAUCCCGUCUCA
Molecule: signal recognition particle RNA, 299 nt
Filed under: Cebus imitator (Panamanian white-faced capuchin)
Lineage: Eukaryota; Metazoa; Chordata; Mammalia; Primates; Cebidae
Description: Metazoan signal recognition particle RNA (ENSCCAG00000013984.1)
Rfam family: Metazoan signal recognition particle RNA
About the family: The signal recognition particle (SRP) is a universally conserved ribonucleoprotein. It is involved in the co-translational targeting of proteins to membranes. The eukaryotic SRP consists of a 300-nucleotide 7S RNA and six proteins: SRPs 72, 68, 54, 19, 14, and 9.
Source: RNAcentral